GACGAACGCUGGCGGCGUGCCUAACACAUGCAAGUCGAGCGAGGUCCAUUCGGUAGCAAUACCGAUGAAGACCUAGCGGCGAACGGGUGAGUAACACGUGAGAAACCUGCCCCAAAGUCUGGGAUAACCCGGGGAACCCGAGCUAAUACCGGAUACCUUCUUUUGAUCGCAUGGUCAGCUGAAGAAAGUUUUUUCGCUUUGGGAGGGUCUCGCGGCCUAUCAGUUUGUUGGUGGGGUAACGCCUACCAAGACAUCGACGGGUAGCUGGUCUGAGAGGACGAUCAGCCACACUGGGACUGAGACACGGCCCAGACUCCUACGGGAGGCAGCAGUGGGGAAUCUUGCGCAAUGGGCGAAAGCCUGACGCAGCAACGCCGCGUGCGGGAUGACGGCC
Molecule: ribosomal RNA, 394 nt
Filed under: uncultured bacterium
Lineage: Bacteria
Description: bacterial SSU rRNA
Rfam family: Bacterial small subunit ribosomal RNA
Source: RNAcentral